UACAGAGGUCUCGAGCGUUGUUCGGAUUCAUUGGGCGUAAAGGGUGCGUAGGUGGCUAGGUAAGUCGGAUGUGAAAUCCCGGGGCUCAACCCCGGAGCUGCAUUCGAUGCUGCCUGGCUAGAGUACUGGAGAGGAGAUUGGAAUUUACGGUGUAGCAGUGAAAUGCGUAGAUAUCGUAAGGAAGACCAGUGGCGAAGGCGGAUCUCUGGACAGUUACUGACACUGAGGCACGAAGGCCAGGGGAGCAAACGGG
This 253-nucleotide ribosomal RNA is filed under the name uncultured prokaryote. RNAcentral's name for it is "partial 16S ribosomal RNA". It matches the Rfam family "Bacterial small subunit ribosomal RNA", at positions 524 to 776 of the family's 1533-position model. The record is from RNAcentral.